Molecule: ribosomal RNA, 381 nt
Filed under: uncultured bacterium
Lineage: Bacteria
Description: bacterial SSU rRNA
Rfam family: Bacterial small subunit ribosomal RNA
Source: RNAcentral
GACGAACGCUGGCGGUGUGCUUAACACAUGCAAGUCGAGCGGUAAGGCCCUUUCGGGGGUACACGAGCGGCGAACGGGUGAGUAACACGUGGGUGACCUGCCCUUAGCUCUGGGAUAAGCCUGGGAAACUGGGUCUAAUACCGGAUAUGACUCCAUGACGCAUGUUGUGGGGUGGAAAGCCUUGUGCGGCUAGGGAUGGGCCCGCGGCCUAUCAGCUUGUUGGUGGGGUGAUGGCCUACCAAGGCGACGACGGGUAGCCGGCCUGAGAGGGCGACCGGCCACACUGGGACUGAGACACGGCCCAGACUCCUACGGGAGGCAGCAGGUGGGGAAUCUUGCGCAAGUGGGCGAAAGCCUGACGCAGCGACGCCGCGGUGGGGA